UACGGGGGAUGCAAGCGUUAUCCGGAAUUAUUGGGCGUAAAGGGUCCUGAGGUGGCUAGCCAAGUCUAUUGUGAAAUAUCAGGGCUUAACCCUGAACAUGCGGUGGAAACUAGAAAGCUUGAGUACAGUAGGGGCGGAGGGAAUUUCCGGUGGAGCGGUGAAAUGCAUAGAUAUCGGGAAGAACACCAACGGCGAAAGCACUCCGCUGGGCUGAUACUGACACUGACAGACGAAAGCUAGGGUAGCGAAAGG
This 252-nucleotide ribosomal RNA is filed under the name uncultured bacterium. RNAcentral describes it as "partial 16S ribosomal RNA". It matches the Rfam family "Bacterial small subunit ribosomal RNA", at positions 524 to 775 of the family's 1533-position model. The record is from RNAcentral.